UACAGAGGGUGCGAGCGUUGUUCGGAAUUAUUGGGCGUAAAGGGCGCGUAGGCGGCCCGGCAAGUCAACGGUGAAAGCUUGGGGCUCAACCCCGAGUCGGCCGUCGAUACUUCCGGGCUGGAGCACUGUAGAGGCAGGUGGAAUUCCAGGUGUAGCGGUGAAAUGCGUAGAUAUCUGGAGGAACACCGGUGGCGAAGGCGGCAUCCUGGACCAACACUGACACUGAGGAGCGAAAGCCAGGGGAGCAAACGGG
Molecule: ribosomal RNA, 253 nt
Filed under: uncultured bacterium
Lineage: Bacteria
Description: partial 16S ribosomal RNA
Rfam family: Bacterial small subunit ribosomal RNA
Source: RNAcentral